Small nuclear RNA from Marmota marmota marmota (Alpine marmot), 107 nucleotides. Lineage: Eukaryota; Metazoa; Chordata; Mammalia; Rodentia; Sciuridae. The record is from Ensembl.
GUGCUCACUUCAGCAGCACAUAUACUAAAAUUGGAAUGAUAUAGAGAAGAUUAGUAUGGCCCCUCUGUAAGGAAGACAUGUAAAUUCAUGAAGUACUCCAUUAAAAA